This 544-nucleotide ribosomal RNA is filed under the name uncultured bacterium. RNAcentral's name for it is "partial 16S ribosomal RNA". It matches the Rfam family "Bacterial small subunit ribosomal RNA", at positions 356 to 895 of the family's 1533-position model. The record is from RNAcentral.
UGGGGAAUUUGGACAAUGGGCGAAAGCCUGAUCCAGCAAUGCCGCGUGUGUGAAGAAGGCCUUCGGGUUGUAAAGCACUUUUGUCCGGAAAGAAAUCCUUGGCUCUAAUACAGUCGGGGGAUGACGGUACCGGAAGAAUAAGCACCGGCUAACUACGUGCCAGCAGCCGCGGUAAUACGUAGGGUGCAAGCGUUAAUCGGAAUUACUGGGCGUAAAGCGUGCGCAGGCGGUUUGCUAAGACCGAUGUGAAAUCCCCGGGCUCAACCUGGGAACUGCAUUGGUGACUGGCAGGCUAGAGUAUGGCAGAGGGGGGUAGAAUUCCACGUGUAGCAGUGAAAUGCGUAGAGAUGUGGAGAAUACCGAUGGCGAAGGCAGCCCCCUGGGCCAAUACUGACGCUCAUGCACGAAAGCGUGGGGAGCAAACAGGAUUAGAUACCCUGGUAGUCCACGCCCUAAACGAUGUCAACUAGUUGUUGGGGAUUCAUUUCCUUAGUAACGUAGCUAACGCGUGAAGUUGACCGCCUGGGGAGUACGUCGCAAGAUU